UAUGACCAUAUCAUGUUGAAACACUACUUCCUGUAUGAUAACCAAAGUUAAGCAACAUUGAGCUGGUCAGUACCUAGAUGGGUGACCAUUUGAGAAUACCAGGUGCUGUAAG
This 112-nucleotide ribosomal RNA is filed under the name Acanthosepion pharaonis. The record is from RNAcentral. Lineage: Eukaryota; Metazoa; Mollusca; Cephalopoda; Sepiida; Sepiidae.